RNA transcript from Anopheles bellator, 1558 nucleotides. RefSeq lists it as uncharacterized. The record is from RefSeq and is a predicted model, not a curated record. NCBI's taxonomy places the organism in Eukaryota, Metazoa, Arthropoda, Insecta, Diptera, Culicidae. The transcript has 4 exons.
UUAGUAUCAGUAUCAAGAUGUCGGUUGCUCGUAACAGAAUGUACUCGCUGGUAAUUUACUUCGUCGUAGGGGCACUUGCCCACCGAGUGGAAUCGAUGAGGAUCAACAUGACGACGUUUUCCAACUGCCAAGAUGUGAAUCUGCCCUACGAUUCCGUCCCGAUCUCGGUGGAAACUGUUAAAUACGAUCGGGAUGCCGACGGUGUUUGCAACACUCUCCAUGCGGAAUACGAAGUGCGCGAAUCUUCAGACCACGUGAAUUGGGAACUGAUCAUUACUACCUAUAAAUGCCCGUUACAAAACUCGGUAACAUGUGUCGAGAAUCCCAUGGAACAUAUCGAGCCCAUGCACUGUGAUCGAUUUCACAGCGAUGAUAGUGGCCCGUGGUUUAUGCUGGCAAGCGCCAUGAUAGAUGGCGACCGUUGUGGGCGAGUUACGGGACGGUUCAACCUGGAUACGGCGGUUAUGAAGAUUAAAUAUCUGGAGCAAUACGUGGCGAUGGGAGAGGGUACCUAUCGAGUGCGAAUGAUGUUCCACAUUCCUGGAACAAGUAUGGAAACUUUGAAUGUACGUGGAUGCUGCGAAAUGGACUUCGAUGUGAUCCAAUAAUUUGGUUAGCAAAGUUUAAUCUCUAUCAAGCACUGUACGAAAGCUGAAAUGACUACAACAUUCCACGGUUUAUUCUUACCCACAGUUUGGGAAUCGCUGAUUUUUUACGAUUGUGAACCGGUUUAGGUUCAAUGAAUUUACACAGCUUUUCAGACACACUGGACCUAGAUGAAUCGCGAGAACCAAUAAAUAAAUUUCAUUUAUUUCUGGAUGUUAAAACAGUAAUAGAAGCGCAUACAGGAAAAUAGAAACUAUAAAAUAAGAUCUUGUUCAACAAGAGGACCAUCAGCAUUUGCUUUGUCUGUUGUUCUCUAGCGAUAUUUCCAAUUCACAAGUGAUGUUUGGUUUUGUUUUUUCUUCAGGGAAAAUUCGAUAAUGACUAACUGCUCUCAUUUUGGGUAGAUUCUUCAUUUCACCACUCCCGGGUAACUAAAAUGGUGACGGGUUACGGGCAGUGGCUUCACUGCGCCAUUUGUGUGUUCAUCCUCCAUUUCGUCGCGCGCCAAAGGUGUGUUCUGUGCGAACCGUUUGGUGUCUAUUGUACAGGGCGUUUCUCUCUCUCUCCAGUACUCCCUAAUGCCUAACACUAUGAACAGGUUGAGUGUGCAAAAUUGACCCUUCAGAUGCUAACGACACACCUUUUUGAAGAGGCCCAUUUCAAUGCGGAAGCUAUUUACUAACUUUGUUACAACGGUGGCUACGCUGGACUCUCGACAAGUAGUGCAGCGGACUGGGCAGUUUAUGUUCACCGACAAUAUGUUGGAAGAACAAACCAUUCGGCCUAGGAUCGUUCGGGAGAGCGCUGAAGGGUGAAAUGGACUCGUUUGGCGCUACACUGACUGACUGUACAUGACACGGGUGAACUAGCUGAAUUUAUCUAUCCAUCAUACGCUAUUGCGUUUCCUGUCCCUUUGUUACGAUGUUGUUUUUGUCCUAGUUGUAAGGCAUGG